Molecule: ribosomal RNA, 613 nt
Filed under: uncultured bacterium
Lineage: Bacteria
Description: bacterial SSU rRNA
Rfam family: Bacterial small subunit ribosomal RNA
Source: RNAcentral
CCCGAUGUGCCGGAAGGUGAAAAUUUUUUGCCUCAAGAGGAGCUCGCGUCUGAUUAGCUAGUUGGUGGGGUAAAAGCGUACCAAGGCAACGAUCAGUAGCUGGUCUGAGAGGAUGAGCAGCCACACUGGGACUGAGACACGGCCCAGACUCCUACGGGAGGCAGCAGUGGGGGAUUUUCCGCAAUGGGCGAAAGCCUGACGGAGCAAUACCGCGUGAGGGAGGAAGGCCUUUGGGUUGUAAACCUCUUUUCUCAGGGAAGAAGAUCUGACGGUACCUGAGGAAUAAGCAUCGGCUAACUCCGUGCCAGCAGCCGCGGUAAUACGGAGGAUGCAAGCGUUAUCCGGAGUUAUUGGGCGUAAAGCGUCCGCAGGUGGUCUUUCAAGUCUGCUGUCAAAGACCAGAGCUUAACUCUGGGCAGGCGGUGGAAACUGAGAGACUAGAGUUCGGUAGGGGUAGCGGGAAUUCCCAGUGUAGCGGUGAAAUGCGUAGAUAUUGGGAAGAACAUCGGUGGCGAAGGCGCGCUACUGGACCGAAACUGACACUCAGGGACGAAAGCUAGGGUAGCGAAAGGGAUUAGAUACCCCUGUAGUCCUAGCUGUAAACGAUGGAAAC